UGGUGGGUAGUUUGACUGGGGCGGUCUCCUCCUAAAGAGUAACGGAGGAGCACGAAGGUUGGCUAAUCCUGGUCGGACAUCAGGAGGUUAGUGCAAUGGCAUAAGCCAGCUUGACUGCGAGCGUGACGGCGCGAGCAGGUGCGAAAGCAGGUCAUAGUGAUCCGGUGGUUCUGAAUGGAAGGGCCAUCGCUCAACGGAUAAAAGGUACUCCGGGGAUAACAGGCUGAUACCGCCCAAGAGUUCAUAUCGACGGCGGUGUUUGGCACCUCGAUGUCGGCUCAUCACAUCCUGGGGCUGAAGUAGGUCCCAAGGGUAUGGCUGUUCGCCAUUUAAAGUGGUACGCGAGCUGGGUUUAGAACGUCGUGAGACAGUUCGGUCCCUAUCUGCCGUGGGCGCUGGAGAACUGAGGGGGGCUGCUCCUAGUACGAGAGGACCGGAGUGGACGCAUCACUGGUGUUCGGGUUGUCAUGCCAAUGGCACUGCCCGGUAGCUAAAUGCGGAAGAGAUAAGUGCUGAAAGCAUCUAAGCACGAAACUUGCCCCGAGAUGAGUUCUCCCUGAGACUUUAAGUCUCCUGAAGGAACGUUGAAGACGACGACGUUGAUAGGCCGGGUGUGUAAGCGC
This 623-nucleotide ribosomal RNA is filed under the name Escherichia coli. RNAcentral's name for it is "partial 23S ribosomal RNA". It matches the Rfam family "Bacterial large subunit ribosomal RNA", at positions 2259 to 2876 of the family's 2925-position model. Lineage: Bacteria; Pseudomonadati; Pseudomonadota; Gammaproteobacteria; Enterobacterales; Enterobacteriaceae. RNAcentral also lists the same sequence under 1 other name. The record is from RNAcentral.